RNAcentral lists this long non-coding RNA (744 nucleotides) under Homo sapiens (human). Its description in RNAcentral is "non-protein coding LINC01411:11". Lineage: Eukaryota; Metazoa; Chordata; Mammalia; Primates; Hominidae. The record is from RNAcentral.
UGAGCCCUGAAGCAUGGCAUUGAGAAGCUGCCUAAGAAGGAGGCAGAUCCAUCAGCCUGGGUGCCCGACUGAUUACCCUGAGCAGAGCUCCCCAGCCCACCUGUGAUGGACGCAUGGAGCUUGAGCAAGGAAUAAAUAUUCGUUGCUGGACUCUGAUUACACUGGACCUAUCCAAGAUCUGAGAUCAUCAACUCAUCUCAAAAUCCUUAAGCUGACCACAGCAGCAUCGUCCCUUUUGCAGUGUAAGAGAAGGAACACAGGCUCAGACAUCAGUGCCAUAUCUGAAGACAUUCAGCUAAUAACAGGAUGGAGUCCAAUCUGAAACAACUGUCACGCUGAGCCUAAUUGCUGAAGAUGGUUGAAGGCACCAGGAGGCUGGAGUUUCCUGGAGGUGGUUUGUGGCCAACCGUCAAUUACUUGGGCUGCUGUGCAGUGGGGAUAGAAGGAUGAUUAGAAUCCACAGACAACCCAUUGGCCUUUGUUUACCAUUAACUUCUGUUUUCUCCACCAGCCAAGCUCCUCCAGACCCAGGAGAUGGCUCUUCCCUCUGUGUAGCACACUCUUUCCAGUCAAGGGGUCUUGCACUGCUAUUUCCCCUUCUGCUUUGCUUGGUUCAUUCUUACUGACCCUCCAAAUACUGAAGGAAUGAAUGGAGAAAUAAGUAAAUGAGAGAUGUGGCCAAGAGUCUCCAAGAGAGGAAAUUAAAAAAUCCUAUACCUGUGAGGAACUGGCCCACUUGCAAAA